Molecule: unclassified non-coding RNA, 316 nt
Filed under: Hevea brasiliensis (rubber tree)
Lineage: Eukaryota; Viridiplantae; Streptophyta; Magnoliopsida; Malpighiales; Euphorbiaceae
Source: RNAcentral
UGCAUUUGCAAUUGCAUGCAAACCAUUGUGGAUUCAACCCCCUUCAUUUUGAAGGAUGGAAAAAGGAGAUGGACAAAAUCAACAAUGCUAAAUUAAUCAUAGUUUGAUUCGUGCUUGUUGUAAGUUAUAUGCUGUUGAAUCGUCAGACAUUGAAUACCUUGGUAGCAAAAUCAAUUCUAGAGUUAUAAUGAGCUUUAAACAUAGCCAAGUUUCUUGGCUUGACUGGGCAAAUGAUUUGCGAGAUUGAACUUGUACCGAAAUUUCUUUUAUCGUAAAUAGUUUCACUAUUUUUUUUUAUCUUAAAAAAAAAAAAAAA